This 1491-nucleotide ribosomal RNA is filed under the name Brenneria salicis. RNAcentral describes it as "16S ribosomal RNA". It matches the Rfam family "Bacterial small subunit ribosomal RNA". Lineage: Bacteria; Pseudomonadati; Pseudomonadota; Gammaproteobacteria; Enterobacterales; Pectobacteriaceae. The record is from RNAcentral.
CAGAUUGAACGCUGGCGGCAGGCCUAACACAUGCAAGUCGGGCGGUAGCACAGAGGAGCUUGCUCCUUGGGUGACGAGCGGCGGACGGGUGAGUAAAGUCUGGGGAUCUGCCUGAUGGAGGGGGAUAACUACUGGAAACGGUAGCUAAUACCGCAUGACGUCUUCGGACCAAAGUGGGGGACCUUCGGGCCUCACGCCAUGAGAUGAACCCAGAUGGGAUUAGCUGGUAGGUGAGGUAACGGCUCACCUAGGCGACGAUCCCUAGCUGGUCUGAGAGGAUGACCAGCCACACUGGAACUGAGACACGGUCCAGACUCCUACGGGAGGCAGCAGUGGGGAAUAUUGCACAAUGGGGGAAACCCUGAUGCAGCCAUGCCGCGUGUGUGAAGAAGGCCUUCGGGUUGUAAAGCACUUUCAGCGGGGAGGAAGGCGAUAAACUUAAUAAGUUUGUUGAUUGACGUUACCCGCAGAAGAAGCACCGGCUAACUCCGUGCCAGCAGCCGCGGUAAUACGGAGGGUGCAAGCGUUAAUCGGAAUGACUGGGCGUAAAGCGCACGCAGGCGGUGUGUUAAGUUGGAUGUGAAAUCCCCGGGCUCAACCCGGGAACAGCAUUCAAAACUGACAGGCUAGAGUCUCGUAGAGGGGGGUAGAAUUCCAGGUGUAGCGGUGAAAUGCGUAAAGAUCUGGAGGACACCGGUGGCGAAGGCGGCCCCCUGGACGAAGACUGACGCUCAGGUGCGAAAGCGUGGGGAGCAAACAGGAUUAGAUACCCUGGUAGUCCACGCCGUAAACGAUGUCGACUUGGAGGCUGUGGUCUUGAACCGUGGCUUCCGGAGCUAACGCGUUAAGUCGACCGCCUGGGGAGUACGGCCGCAAGGUUAAAACUCAAAUGAAUUGACGGGGGCCCGCACAAGCGGUGGAGCAUGUGGUUUAAUUCGAUGCAACGCGAAGAACCUUACCUACUCUUGACAUCCAGAGAAGACUGUAGAGAUACGGUUGUGCCUUCGGGAGCUCUGAGACAGGUGCUGCAUGGCUGUCGUCAGCUCGUGUUGUGAAAUGUUGGGUUAAGUCCCGCAACGAGCGCAACCCUUAUCCUUUGUUGCCAGCACGUAAUGGUGGGAACUCAAAGGAGACUGCCGGUGAUAAACCGGAGGAAGGUGGGGUGACGUCAAGUCAUCAUGGCCCUUACGAGUAGGGCUACACACGUGCUACAAUGGCGCAUACAAAGAGAAGCGAGCCUGCGAGGGUGAGCGGACCUCAUAAAGUGCGUCGUAGUCCGGAUUGGAGUCUGCAACUCGACUCCAUGAAGUCGGAAUCGCUAGUAAUCGUAGAUCAGAAUGCUACGGUGAAUACGUUCCCGGGCCUUGUACACACCGCCCGUCACACCAUGGGAGUGGGUUGCAAAAGAAGUAGGUAGCUUAACCUUAGGGGGGGCGCUUACCACUUUGUGAUUCAUGACUGGGGUGAAAUCGUAACAAGGUAACCGUAGGG